RNAcentral lists this long non-coding RNA (680 nucleotides) under Heterocephalus glaber (naked mole-rat). RNAcentral's name for it is "lncRNA (ENSHGLG00000048294.1)". The record is from RNAcentral. Lineage: Eukaryota; Metazoa; Chordata; Mammalia; Rodentia; Bathyergidae.
CGCUCACAGGGUAAGGCCUUGUGGACCUGCUAGGCGGAGAUCCUGGGAACCGGUUUCUGCCUGCGCUGGCUGCACUCCCAGCACCUUCCCUGAGAAAGCACCCAGGGGCGCCCCCACGCGGGGCCUGGGCACGGUGGGCGAGGCGGUUGGUCAGAAGGGGACAGCAGUGGAAUAAGUGGCUGGUGAAUAAACAUCGGCACCAGGGCCACUGUGGCUGUCAGAGCCCUGCUGUCCCUCCUGGCUGGGAUGUUUUCGAUACCUAGGAACUUACCUGCAGUUGACCAGGUUGGAGCUGUUGGUCCUGAGAGGCACUUGAGUCAAGUACCCUCCAUUCAGCAGUACCUUACUGUGGGGAUUUGCAGUUCUUCCCUCUGAAAGUUCACAUGGGACACCACAAAGUGAUGAGGUGCUGAUUCUGGGUCAAAGACACAAAAAAGCCUUCUGUGCUGUGGGAUACAGCAGCACAGUUAUCAUCUCAAGCUGCCUACCUGUGCCACAUCCCAGCUAAUGAACCUCUGGGCUCCAUCUUCCACCUUUGUGAAAUGGGACUGAACUCAAGUGCUGCUGCCAGGAUGCAGUGAGUUAAGGCAUGUAAAGUGCUCACGGGAGUGAGCGUGGGAAGUGUUGGCUUUGUCACUAGGGUUGCUCUGGGCAAGGGGGAAGGGAACAAUGUGAACUGG